GACUACAAAUAUAAAUGUCAGAGCUGAUCUUAACUGCUAUAGUGUGAAGAAGAGGGAGUUUUGUUUGUUUUUCAGAAUAUUAUAUGCACCUAGGUUUGCAUACAUGGUGUUAUCCUGACUGCAUAGAGUGAAACCCAAGAAGCCUGUACAGAAGGGACUAGGGAACAAACAGGAAAUGGAAAAAAUGGGAACAAUAAGAUACCUGUGGUAAACAGCUUCAAUGGAGUUAAAACAACUCUAGCUGGGCCAUCAACAGGGAAAGUACUAGUUUCAGGUCCAAGCAAAGUUACAUAGCUGUUCUGCCAAGGCUGAAAGGCUAGAGAACAAAAGACUGUGAACAGUUAAAAAGACUGCUGGAAGAAGGAAGGAAGGAGUGGAUUGCCAACACCUGCUGGGGAAGAUGCAGAGAGAGUUACAGAAGAGAGGAAAGAGUACUGGAGAGCUCAAGGGGGCAGAUAAUUGGGGUGAAUGCAACUCAUCACAACUUGCAAGGAGAGAUGAAAGUUUAGGUAGUGGAUUUUCACAUUGAAUUUGUAUUAAGACAACUUGGAACCUGCAGCCCACCACCGAGAUCAAGCCCAGAAUGACUGCACCACAAGACUCCAUCCUUGAAAGUGGUGAAGAAAGCCAGGCCUGUUAUUCGGUGAUUAAAAGGGAAACCAAAAAGGAAUUAGAAGGAACUUCCAUAAGGGCUCAUACCAACACGUGUUCUGAAAGGCACACAAGAGGAAGGAGUGCAUAUAAGAGCUCCAUGGAGAAGCUUGGUGAGCAGUCCGGCUGCUGCAGGAGGGGAACUACUGAGGACUCCCGGAGAAGUGGCAGCAACCCCAGAAGGACUGUAGCAGACGGUGGGGA
Alligator sinensis (Chinese alligator) is the source of this 855-nucleotide long non-coding RNA. RefSeq lists it as uncharacterized. The transcript has 3 exons. Lineage: Eukaryota; Metazoa; Chordata; Crocodylia; Alligatoridae. The record is from RefSeq and is a predicted model, not a curated record.